AGUUUUGCCGGUAUUCAGCAGACGAGCGAAGAAAAUCUAGGCGAGCAAAGAAAAUAUAGGUAUGUUUCUAUUUUAUCACCUUCUAUUUUGAACUGCAAGUUUUUUUUUCACUGUUGUUGCCUCUGUUUAUUGCUUUCUCUUAAUUAAGGAAUGCAAUGUGUUUGAUGUUAUGCUAUGAUAGUUUACUUUUCCCUCUGUUUUUUAUUUCAAAUGUUGCAUGAUGCUGUUAGCUGCUUAUCUAUUCAAUAAUUACAUCAUUUAGUAUCAUUGUCCUUUGGCUUAUUAAGGUUGUCAUUUUAUAUAUAUUACUUAGUUUUAGCUAUUCUAGGAUGCUUUGAUUCUGUCAUUUUGUGUGCCUUUGGAUUAGCAUUUUGCUUUGUUUAUAGUAAAAUUAGAUUUUGAUUUUUUGUGUUUCAAAAUGAAAAAAAAAAGAGAAAAUUUAGUACAGGUUUUAGAUUGAUAGAUGAAAUGUUUGAUGAUUCCCCUGAUCUAAGAAUGUUGGAAAGAAACAAAAA
Molecule: long non-coding RNA, 515 nt
Organism: Coffea arabica (coffee)
Lineage: Eukaryota; Viridiplantae; Streptophyta; Magnoliopsida; Gentianales; Rubiaceae
Source: RefSeq, a predicted model, not a curated record